UGAGAAGAUUUGCUGAUAAUAUGUGGUGAACAUAGAGCUGUGGGAUUGCCAAUAGUACGCAAAAAGCGAUACCAAGUUUGGGCUACACAAUCAUUAGUCAUGCCAACUGGUAUUAGUUGAGCAUCUUCUUCGGCUAAAAGUUCCGGAAAAGCAGGACCAUAAGUAAAUUCCAACAGUCUUGCAGUUAAAGCCAAAUUAACACGAUUCCAUUGGUCUACUAAAGCCACACGAUGACGCCACAUAGCACAAGACUCCUGCAAUGUUUUCCACAAUGAGGGUGAGGGAAAACAUCUUACGCAAGCCAAAAGCCAAACUUCAAAAAGCACCUGUAAAACUCUCUCACACAAUUGAUCACCAACAUCGUCUUUAAUGGUGGGUGGUGCCAAUAAAGUUUCAUUUAUAGCCAAAAGAAACAGUAACAGAGACUCCCAUGUUUCACGAUCCAUAGUUUGGGAAAUCUGUGCCGUCUGUUGUAGAGUACGUAAAACACGAUGACAUAAAACAGCCUGGCGAUUAAUGGUAUCAAUGCCUUUAAAGUAAAGUGAAAAAUGAUCAGGCAUGUUUAAAAGCUAUUAUAUUUUGUUAUACAAGCCCUAAUUUGGUAAAUGCAUGUAUUUCUAGCUAUAUGACACCUACCAAGCUCUUUUUGAUAUAUAAAUGAGCCUUUAUAUGUUCGUGAUAAAAUUGGAAGCAUAUUUACAUAUGUACUAUUCUUUAACUUCAUUUACUUACUUUCGCCAUCUCGUGGUACGAAAAGAUUAUGAAAAUGGUUAAUUAUUUUGCGACAAUACAUAUUGGC
This is a long non-coding RNA of Calliphora vicina (urban bluebottle blowfly), 799 nucleotides long. RefSeq lists it as uncharacterized. The record is from RefSeq and is a predicted model, not a curated record. Lineage: Eukaryota; Metazoa; Arthropoda; Insecta; Diptera; Calliphoridae. The transcript is spliced from 3 exons.